AAAUUGAAGAGUUUGAUCAUGGCUCAGAUUGAACGCUGGCGGCAGGCCUAACACAUGCAAGUCGAACGGUAACAGGAAACAGCUUGCUGUUUCGCUGACGAGUGGCGGACGGGUGAGUAAUGUCUGGGAAACUGCCUGAUGGAGGGGGAUAACUACUGGAAACGGUAGCUAAUACCGCAUAACGUCGCAAGACCAAAGAGGGGGACCUUCGGGCCUCUUGCCAUCGGAUGUGCCCAGAUGGGAUUAGCUUGUUGGUGGGGUAACGGCUCACCAAGGCGACGAUCCCUAGCUGGUCUGAGAGGAUGACCAGCCACACUGGAACUGAGACACGGUCCAGACUCCUACGGGAGGCAGCAGUGGGGAAUAUUGCACAAUGGGCGCAAGCCUGAUGCAGCCAUGCCGCGUGUAUGAAGAAGGCCUUCGGGUUGUAAAGUACUUUCAGCGGGGAGGAAGGGAGUAAAGUUAAUACCUUUGCUCAUUGACGUUACCCGCAGAAGAAGCACCGGCUAACUCCGUGCCAGCAGCCGCGGUAAUACGGAGGGUGCAAGCGUUAAUCGGAAUUACUGGGCGUAAAGCGCACGCAGGCGGUUUGUUAAGUCAGAUGUGAAAUCCCCGGGCUCAACCUGGGAACUGCAUCUGAUACUGGCAAGCUUGAGUCUCGUAGAGGGGGUAGAAUUCCAGGUGUAGCGGUGAAAUGCGUAGAGAUCUGGAGGAAUACCGGUGGCGAAGGCGGCCCCCUGGACGAAGACUGACGCUCAGGUGCGAAAGCGUGGGGAGCAAACAGGAUUAGAUACCCUGGUAGUCCACGCCGUAAACGAUGUCGACUUGGAGGUUGUGCCCUUGAGGCGUGGCUUCCGGAGCUAACGCGUUAAGUCGACCGCCUGGGGAGUACGGCCGCAAGGUUAAAACUCAAAUGAAUUGACGGGGGCCCGCACAAGCGGUGGAGCAUGUGGUUUAAUUCGAUGCAACGCGAAGAACCUUACCUGGUCUUGACAUCCACGGAAGUUUUCAGAGAUGAGAAUGUGCCUUCGGGAACCGUGAGACAGGUGCUGCAUGGCUGUCGUCAGCUCGUGUUGUGAAAUGUUGGGUUAAGUCCCGCAACGAGCGCAACCCUUAUCCUUUGUUGCCAGCGGUCCGGCCGGGAACUCAAAGGAGACUGCCAGUGAUAAACUGGAGGAAGGUGGGGAUGACGUCAAGUCAUCAUGGCCCUUACGACCAGGGCUACACACGUGCUACAAUGGCGCAUACAAAGAGAAGCGACCUCGCGAGAGCAAGCGGACCUCAUAAAGUGCGUCGUAGUCCGGAUUGGAGUCUGCAACUCGACUCCAUGAAGUCGGAAUCGCUAGUAAUCGUGGAUCAGAAUGCCACGGUGAAUACGUUCCCGGGCCUUGUACACACCGCCCGUCACACCAUGGGAGUGGGUUGCAAAAGAAGUAGGUAGCUUAACCUUCGGGAGGGCGCUUACCACUUUGUGAUUCAUGACUGGGGUGAAGUCGUAACAAGGUAACCGUAGGGGAACCUGCGGUUGGAUCACCUCCUUACCUUAAAGAAGC
RNAcentral lists this ribosomal RNA (1553 nucleotides) under Escherichia coli. RNAcentral describes it as "bacterial SSU rRNA". It matches the Rfam family "Bacterial small subunit ribosomal RNA". The record is from RNAcentral. Lineage: Bacteria; Pseudomonadati; Pseudomonadota; Gammaproteobacteria; Enterobacterales; Enterobacteriaceae. RNAcentral also lists the same sequence under 1 other name.